Long non-coding RNA from Musca domestica (house fly), 819 nucleotides. RefSeq lists it as uncharacterized. Lineage: Eukaryota; Metazoa; Arthropoda; Insecta; Diptera; Muscidae. The transcript has 3 exons. The record is from RefSeq and is a predicted model, not a curated record.
UUUGUAUUGAGUAUUAUUACUGGCAUAGACUCUGAAAAAACUCAACCAAACGUAUUUUUGCAAAAAAAAAAAGAAAUUAUGUGAAUUCAGAUUUAAAUCCCGAAGAAAAUAUACAUUUUAAAACAAGAAUGAGAUGCUACCAGCUGGAGUUGUGACAAAAUUAUUAACCUUGGAAUUUGCUGACGAAUUGAAGACGCGUUUUUAGUCCGAAAAUCAAAUACCAAUGCCCAAUUGUAAGCUAUCAUGAAGUUCGCGGAUUUAAGUUCCCGCUACAAUAUAUAUUCAAGAAAUAUUAUCUAAAGUUCAACGCUUGAUCUGUGUAAAUUACGUUGAAGUAUUUGGGUUCAGACCUAUCCAUUUGUCACCUUGAUCGUACGAUUUAAUGCCAUUGACAAAUUUAUUCGUGAGACAGCGGCCGAAAUGAUGCAAAAAAUUAUGCCGAAAUUGGACCAAGUGGAUGGACAAUCACCGAUUGAUAGACACUGAUUCGUUCGAAAAUUGUUUCAGAACUCCCCAAAAAUACUAAAAAUGGGGCGACAUCCCUAAAUAUGUACCGAUAUAACCCAUUUUUAAUAUCAAUCAGUGACUAGAGAUUUUAAAGGGCCCAGACCCGGCAAAGUUUGGAAAGAUUGGCAUACACAGAAAGUAAGAUUAUCAAUAUACAGCACAUUUGGUUCGAUAUAAUAACGGAAACCUUUAAAAACAUUGAAUCGGAAUGCAUCAUUGUAUGGUUGCAAUAUCACCUAUACUGGAUCUAUAAUAAAGUUUUCUUUAGGCAAUAGAGAUUUUGCCCAUUGGGAGCCUGAAAUGUUAAACUGA